This 74-nucleotide transfer RNA is filed under the name Desulfatibacillum alkenivorans AK-01. It matches the Rfam family "tRNA". Rfam says of the family: Transfer RNA (tRNA) molecules are approximately 80 nucleotides in length. Their secondary structure includes four short double-helical elements and three loops (D, anti-codon, and T loops). Further hydrogen bonds mediate the characteristic L-shaped molecular structure. tRNAs have two regions of fundamental functional importance: the anti-codon, which is responsible for specific mRNA codon recognition, and the 3' end, to which the tRNAs corresponding amino acid is attached (by aminoacyl-tRNA synthetases). tRNAs cope with the degeneracy of the genetic code in two manners: having more than one tRNA (with a specific anti-codon) for a particular amino acid; and 'wobble' base-pairing, i.e. permitting non-standard base-pairing at the 3rd anti-codon position. Lineage: Bacteria; Pseudomonadati; Thermodesulfobacteriota; Desulfobacteria; Desulfobacterales; Desulfatibacillaceae. The record is from Rfam by way of RNAcentral.
CGGGGCGUGGCGCAAUCUGGUAGCGCGCCUGCUUUGGGAGCAGGAAGUUGGAGGUUCAAAUCCUCUCGCCCCGA